UCUUAGCUUCAGAGAAGAUUGCCAACCUGUCCAGAGCCCUGCAAGCUGUGCAGUUUUCCCUGUGCUGUUUCAAGAGCCACUGCCUGUGCUGAGGUGGACUCUGCAGUCCUACAGCUCCUGUGACGUCACUCCAGCUCCUUUUGUUUAUAUGGUGGAUUACAUUGAUGGAUUUCCACAUACUGACCCACUCCUGCAUGCCUGGGAUGAAGCCUACUUGGUCAUGACGGAUGAUAUUUUGGAUGUGUUCUUGGAUUUGGUUUAGUCAACUCUGAGAUUCCAUCUUACACCUGUCAGAAUGGCUAAGAUCAAAAACUCAAGUGACAACAUAUGGUGGAGAGGAUGUGGAGAAAGGAGAACCCUCCUCCUUUUCUGGUGGGAGUACAAACUUGUACAACCACUUUGGAAAUAAAUCUGGCACUUUCUCAGAAAAUUGGGAUAGUGAUACUUCCAAGAUCCAGCUAUACCACUCCUGGGCAUAUGCCUGAAAGAUGCUCCACCAUUCAACAAGGACAUUUGCUUAACUAUGUUCAUAGCAGCUUUAUUUGUAAUAGCCAGAAUCUGGAAACAACCUAGAAUUCCCUCAACAGAAGAAUGGAUACAGAAAUUGUGGUACAUCUACACAAUGGAAUGCUACUCCACUAUUAAAAACAAGGAAAUCAUGAAAUUUUCAGGGAAAUGGAUGGAACUAGAAGACAUCAUCCUGAGUGAGCCCUGGAAGGGUGUGGCCUCGAGACCCAGAAGGAACCCGAAGAAGUGAUGGCUUCGGGGAACCCAGGAGCAGUCUCAAAGGGAGAGCCAGCCUCACAGUCACUGUGAUACCUCUCGUCUUCACCUCUCCUUCCCAUAUCCCCCAGUCGGAUCCCACAAACUCACCUACGGUGAGAGAUGCGCACAGACAGCACAGCAGGACCAAAAAAAAAGUGUCAAAGUUCGAUUGCGCUUGGAGACUGCAGCCCGGGCCAUGGUUCCUCAUUCCGUACCAAGCUGGCAGCAGGCAUGACUGCCUUCAAGGGAGAGGAGAGGAGAGGAAGACUAAGUAAUUCCUGCAGAUGACUGCAGACUUCUCCAGAACCUGGGCCGAGAAUUCAAGCCUUCCCCCUUUGUCUGCCUGCUAAUUCCGUCCUUAGUCCCGUCUGCUCCUAGUCACUCCCGGGUCCCUGGGGGCUCUGGCCCCUUUCUUUCCAGACCUCCACAGUUCUUUUCUAACUCCUGCAGCACAUGAGGUCGCUAUUGUGAACUGACUGUCUACGGUCCUCCCAGGGCCUCGGAGGUCCCUUCCCAGAACUCACCUGUGCUCCAGGACCUUCCUUAGCAGAAGUGGGAGCAGAAGAAUGGCGCUGGUCCCUCCCGCUGAGAUCAUUUAUAACCAAUAGCCCCGGAGGAGAAAACCGGUUAGAUCAGCUCCGGGCGUAGCAUGGAAUUUCUGUGCUCUUCUGUAAGGGCUAAGACCCCGUCGUCCUCUCACUUCCAUGCCGAAGUUCGCAUAUUCAUCUUCAGAAGAAAGACAAGUCCGAUUUGUUUUUAGUUUGUGAAAUGCCUAGGUUUCCUCCCAAAUACUGGCCAGUCUGAAAUCAAGGGUCCUGCCUGCUUCACAAGCCUCGUGGACUGCCAAGUCUCUCUGCCAUUACUGCCAUCCUCAGGAGUUCCUGAAUCCUUUAGGGACCUCUGACGAAGUUAAGCCAGAUUUUUGGCUUCACCAUAGAAAAGAAUUUCAGGACAAGCGAGUCUAGAACAGAGUUGAAGUUAAUUAAAAGAUAUUUUAAAGAUGAGGGUCAAAAGAAAGAGGGUCUGGGAGGGAAGUCGAGAACUUAGGAUAUGGGUGUGGUCUUUUUAAAGCACCGUCAUGGUUGCCAUAGUAACCUGGACAGUUAAGUGAGGAACCUUCUCUUUGCUAAAUGAACUCUUGAUGUGGUUUCUGGGUUCACUGGCUGGAAUCCAAGCUGAUAAGUAAGAGCCUAGAUCAAAGGAAGGGCAGGGCACCUGUAAAGAAAGAUCCAAUCUUGCUGUGAGAAUCCCAGAAAGCCCUGGAAAGGAACAAGGCCAUAUUGGAAGAUCACAGAAGAGUGGUCUUCCAGCAAGGCUCAUUGCUUGUCUAACAUUUUUAGUUGGAAAUAUAUGUCUAUAAAGAAAUACUGUUAGGCUGGGCAUGGUGGCUCAUGCCUUUAAUCCCUGCACUCCGGAGCAGAGCAAAGCAGAUCUCUGUGAGUUUGAGGCCAGCCUGGUCUACAGAGAGAGUUCCAGGGCAGGCAGCCAGGACUGCACAGAGAAACCCUGCCUUGAGAAAUCAAAAUAAAUGAAUAAA
Long non-coding RNA from Psammomys obesus (fat sand rat), 2302 nucleotides. RefSeq lists it as uncharacterized. The record is from RefSeq and is a predicted model, not a curated record. NCBI's taxonomy places the organism in Eukaryota, Metazoa, Chordata, Mammalia, Rodentia, Muridae. The transcript has 5 exons.